CCUGCCAGUAGUCAUAUGCUUGUCUUAAAGAUUAAGCCAUGCAUGUCUAAGUAUAAGUAUUAUACCUCGAAACUGCGAAUGGCUCAUUAAAUCAGUUAUAGUUUACUUGAUGGCUUACUCUACUUGGAUAACUGUAGUAAUUCUAGAGCUAAUACAUGCAAAACACCCCGACUUUUUGGAAGGGGUGCAAAUGUUAGUUACAAACCUAAUGGGUUCGCCCUUAUUUGGUGAGUCUGGACAUUUCGACGAUCGUAUGGCCUUGAGACGGGGAAUUAGGGUUCGAUUCCGGAGAGGGAGCCUUAAAAACGGCUACCACUUCCAAGGAAGGCAGCAGGCGCGCAAAUUACCCAAUCCUGAUACAGGGAGGUAGUGACAAGAAAUAACGAUGCUGGUCAUUUAAUGACUAGCAAUCGGAAUGAGUACAAUGCAAAUAUCUUAACGAGGAACAAUUGGAGGACAAGUCUGGUGCCAGCACCCGCGGUAAUUCCAGCUCCAAUAGCGUAUAUUAAAGUUGUUGCGGUUAAAAAGCUCGUAGUUGGAUUGAAGGGCAGUUCUGUCUGUAGUCUUGCCCCCAAAGGGUAGACUUGCAGGUAGUCUGUUCAAUAUAUGCUCGGAUCUUGCUCUUCUGGCCUUAACUGGUUGGGAGGGUGGUUCUGAGCCGUUUACUUUGAAAAAAUUAGGGUGUUCAAAGCAGGCUAUUUUAUGCCUUGAAUAGAUUAGCAUGGGAUAAUGAAACACGACCUAGUUGCCGUUUCGUUGGGGUUGGGCAGCUAGGUAAUGAUCAAUAGGGACGGUCGGGGCUAUUCAUAUUUAAUUGUUAGAGGUGAAAUUCUUAGAUUUUUUAAAGAUGAACCGGUGCGAAAGCGUUUAGCAAGCACGCUCCCAUUGAUCAAGAACGAAAGUUAGGGGAUCGAAGACGAUCAGAUACCGUCGUAGUCUUAACUAUAAACGAUGCGGACCAAGGAUCGGACAGGUACUUUUGUACUACCUGUCCGGCACUUUGAGAGUAAUCAUUGAGUUUUUGCGCUCUGGGGGGAGUAUGGUCGCAAGGCUGAAACUUAAAGGAAUUGACGGAAGGGCACCACCAGG
RNAcentral lists this ribosomal RNA (1089 nucleotides) under uncultured soil eukaryote. Its description in RNAcentral is "SSU rRNA". It matches the Rfam family "Eukaryotic small subunit ribosomal RNA", at positions 13 to 1174 of the family's 1831-position model. The record is from RNAcentral.